UACGGAAGGCAGCAGUGGGGAAUAUUGCACAAUGGGCGAAAGCCUGAUGCAGCUAUGCCGCGUGUAUGAAGAAGGCCUUAGGGUUGUAAAGUACUUUCAUCGGGGAGGAAAAACAAAACUAAUAAUUUUAUUUCUUGACGUUACCCGAAAAAGAAGCACCGGCUAACUCCGUGCCAGCAGCCGCGGUAAUACGGAGGGUGCUAGCGUUAAUCAGAAUUACUGGGCGUAAAGAGCACGUAGGUGGUUUUUUUAAGUCAGAUGUGAAAUCCCUGGGCUUAACCUAGGAACUGCAUUUUGAAACUGAAAUACUAGAGUAUCGUAGAGGGAGGUAGAAUUCUAGGUGUAGCGGUGAAAUGCGUAGAUAUCUGGAGGAAUACCUGUGGCGAAAGCGGCCUCCUAAACGAAUACUGACACUGAGGUGCGAAAGCGUGGGGAGCAAACAGGGAUUAGAUA
Molecule: ribosomal RNA, 453 nt
Filed under: uncultured bacterium
Lineage: Bacteria
Description: bacterial SSU rRNA
Rfam family: Bacterial small subunit ribosomal RNA
Source: RNAcentral